This 301-nucleotide ribosomal RNA is filed under the name uncultured bacterium. Its description in RNAcentral is "partial 16S ribosomal RNA". It matches the Rfam family "Bacterial small subunit ribosomal RNA", at positions 509 to 807 of the family's 1533-position model. The record is from RNAcentral.
CAGUAGCCGCGGGAAAACGUAGGUGGCAAGCGUUGUCCGGAAUUAUUGGGCGUAAAGGGCUCGCAGGCGGUUUCUUAAGUCUGAUGUGAAAGCCCCCGGCUCAACCGGGGAGGGUCAUUGGAAACUGGGAAACUUGAGUGCAGAAGAGGAGAGUGGAAUUCCACGUGUAGCGGUGAAAUGCGUAGAGAUGUGAAGGAACACCAGUGGCGAAGGCGACUCUCUGGUCUGUAACUGACGCUGAGGAGCGAAAGCGUGGGGAGCGAACAGGAUUAGAUACCCCGGUAGUCCCUGUCUCUUAUAC